CGCGGCCUAUCAGCUUGUUGGUGAGGUAACGGCUCACCAAGGCGACGACGGGUAGCUGCUCUGAGAGGAAGAUCAGCCACACUGGGACUGAGACACGGCCCAGACUCCUACGGGAGGCAGCAGUGGGGAAUCUUGCGCAAUGGGCGAAAGCCUGACGCAGCAAUGCCGCGUGCGGGAAGACGGCCUUCGGGUUGUAAACCGCUUUCAGCAGGGACGAAAUUGACGGUACCUGCAGAAGAAGCUCCGGCCAACUACGUGCCAGCAGCCGCGGUAAGACGUAGGGGGCGAGCGUUGUCCGGAAUUAUUGGGCGUAAAGGGCUCCUAGGCGGUUCAGUAAGUCGACUGUGAAAAUCCAAGGCUCAACCUUGGGACGCCAGUCGAUACUGCUGUGACUCGAGUUCGGUAGAGGAGUGUGGAAUUCCUGGUGUAGCGGUGAAAUGCGCAGAUAUCAGGAGGAACACCAACGGCGAAGGCAGCACUCUGGGCAACAACUGACGCUGAGGAGCGAAAGCGUGGGGAGCGAACAGGAUUAGAUACCCUGGUAGUCCACGCCGUAAACGUUGGGCGCUAGGUGUGGGGGCCAUUCCACGGUCUCCGUGCCGCAGCUAACGCAUUAAGCGCCCCGCCUGGGGAGUACGG
RNAcentral lists this ribosomal RNA (639 nucleotides) under uncultured Actinomycetes bacterium. RNAcentral's name for it is "bacterial SSU rRNA". It matches the Rfam family "Bacterial small subunit ribosomal RNA", at positions 232 to 885 of the family's 1533-position model. Lineage: Bacteria; Bacillati; Actinomycetota; Actinomycetes. The record is from RNAcentral.